AUGACAUCAGUGACCAGUGAAUCUACUGUAGGUGCCAUGGGAUUCUCUACUGAGACUUCAGGGACACUGAAGAAAGUGAGUGGGUCUGACCAGGGAAGAGAACCAACAGACUCCACCAGUAUCCCAAUGACUGGCUUUACUGGGAGAGAUUCCAUUACAGACACUGAAACAGACAUACGUGUCAUGGAGACAACUCCAAGAGCCACAGUCACUCAAGCCCCACUUCUCACUGCACCCACUGGAGCAGGUGACCCCAUCCCUGGGAUGCACAGGAGAACUGUGUCCUCUCCCACUUCACCCUUAGCUCCAAGUGAGAUAUCCUCUGGAGUCACCAUGGCCAUUGCGAGGCCCUCACUCUACAUGACUCCAGUAGAACCCACAGCUAGCCCGGGCUCCAGUAGUCCCUUAAACAUCAGCCUAUCUGGGACAAUGUUUUCUACACCCCUUGCAGACACACCUAUAGCUGAAAUAACUCUUGGAGGGAGUUCCAGCACCCCCCCUUCUCCAUGGCCCACUCCAGUUGAUUCUUUCAAUAUUGCUGUCUCAGCCCCAGGAACUGAAAUCACCUCCAUUGUGCCUCUAUAUUCACUUCCAAUAGCCUCAAGUGCCACAGAAACCACACCAGAUCCAGACUUGUCAGUGAGACCUACCACACUAGAGCCAGGCUCAGCUGCCCUAACUUCCACUGCUCCCAGCAUCAUUCCAACACCGUCUGGAGAAGACACAAACACCUCAUUGGUGUCUAUAGAAGGACCAACAGAAGAUAAAACAGUGUCCAGCACCUUCCCAGUGAAUGCAGACACCCCUGGUAUCACUCACAGGGAGCACUUCUUCACAGGUCCUGGAAUAACUUUUCAACCUGUCAUGGCCUCUACUUCUCUGCCCAAUUUAAGUGAAGGGACCAUAUCCCCUCACCCUCUUUAGAGAGUAGGAAAAGCACUGCCAUUAUUGGAGUCUGGACAAGCCCAGCUGAACCUCUCACUCCGGAUUCCAAGAAGCCCACCCCUGCUGAGGGUUCACUCUCUGUUGGACCAGUGACUGAAUUUAGCAGCAGGGAAAGUGUACAUUUACAGAAUAGCUUGGCCCCCAGCAUCACCCCAGAAUGGGAGACCAGUAGACCAGGCAGGACUACAGAGUCAGAUAUCAGCACACUCAUCCCUGGCAAUUUUCAUCCUUCUGAGGGCACUGCUGACCUCAUGUCAAGCCCAGUGGAAGGCUCCAGCCCAAAGCCAGCUGUCUAUACCUCUCCACCCCACACCUCAGGUACUACAGGGACCAGGAUUGGAGACGAGACAGACUCAUCCUUGGUGUUGACUACACCAGCACCUGCUGUCUCUAUCAGCAGCAUCUCUGGGGCUCUCCUUGGUACAAGAACAGUGGUUCCAUGGUCUUCGAAUUCAGCUGAAGCUACAGAUCUUACCAUGAAUCGCCUUGAUCCUAUAUCCAUGUUGCCAUCCAAAUUCUCUACUUCAUCUCCUGUAACAUUUUCAGGGGUUACUUACAAGGCUGAAGACAAGAGCUCCAAUGUUCCUGGGACUGACAGCAUAAGUAUCAUCUUCAGCAGCAAGGUCACAGACAGGGUCUCUCUCCAUCCUGAGAUCACUCCUAACCAAAAUCUACUGGGCACAAUGGAAGAGAGCACAGGUGCUUUGCUGACCCC
This is a long non-coding RNA of Monodelphis domestica (gray short-tailed opossum), 1660 nucleotides long. The record is from Ensembl. NCBI's taxonomy places the organism in Eukaryota, Metazoa, Chordata, Mammalia, Didelphimorphia, Didelphidae.